Molecule: long non-coding RNA, 793 nt
Filed under: Malus domestica (apple)
Lineage: Eukaryota; Viridiplantae; Streptophyta; Magnoliopsida; Rosales; Rosaceae
Description: long non-coding RNA (MDOM_LNC004473)
Source: RNAcentral
ACUCAGAUUUUCCAACUACACACCCUAUACUAAUUAUAUGUGAGAAGAUUGAUGUAGAUAUGAAAACGAAUGCUCACAUAUAUGUAUCACAAAGAAAGCAAUUUUUGGAGUUAAUAAGCAUGUUUAGAUAUGAUCUCAUGAAUGGAAUGCUAUUACUUAGACGCGAGAACCAGUGACACCAUAUGCUCAUACCAAAUUCAAACUCCACAAAUUGAAACACAUAACACUCAAGAUUGAAGUCAAAGGUUGUAACGGGCUUAGGGUGUUGGCUAACAAAUGAAGGAUAGGGAUAACAAACAUUCUUAAAGCAAUAGCAAGAAAAGUAAUGAAAUAGAAACUUAGAAUUCACUUAGAUUGCAGUAAUCAACUUUUAACACGAAGGGAAGAUUCAAGCAAUAUUUAGGGCCGAAUUCAAUGUUUUGGACCCUUUCUUCAACAAGCAACACUUUAAAACUCUUUUUCACAUAUUUUUCAACUCCUUUUCUCUUCACAGCUUUUCUUCUUUUCAUUCUAUUUUUCACGAAUCUUUCUUUUCUACUCGUGCCUUAUGAAUGAUUUUGGCAUACACACACACAAGAAUCACUUCCCCCACACUUGUUUUCUGCCAUACAUUAAUCAAAAGGAAUUCAAUUUGACUCAUACUUUACUAUGCUUCAAGAACAAGGGUAUGGAUGGUCCUAAACUAGGCUAGGUAAGGAUAAUGUGGUUUAACAAAGAAUGUAGGCUAUCAAGGCUCAUUGGGGUUAACUUAAACAUAUAACGAUAUGGGAUACAUGGCAGUUUGGCUUUGGUG